UACGGACAUAUCACGUUAAAAUACCAGUUCUCGUUCGAUCACCGAAGUUAAGCAACGUCGAGCCUGGUCAGUACCUAAACGAGUGACCGCUUGGGAAUACCAAGUGUUGUAAU
Non-coding RNA from Acanthosepion pharaonis, 113 nucleotides. The record is from the annotation of a GenBank genome assembly. Lineage: Eukaryota; Metazoa; Mollusca; Cephalopoda; Sepiida; Sepiidae.